AGGUGAUUUCAAAAAGGACUUGUGGGCUCUGACUCCAGGCACUCAAUACUUUGAAGGGCUUCAUAUUAGCUAUAGUCACUCAAUUGUGCUAUGCUUUCCUGAGGAGAUGUAAGG
Molecule: small nucleolar RNA, 114 nt
Filed under: Chlorocebus sabaeus (green monkey)
Lineage: Eukaryota; Metazoa; Chordata; Mammalia; Primates; Cercopithecidae
Description: Small nucleolar RNA SNORA25 (ENSCSAG00000021627.1)
Source: RNAcentral